Molecule: ribosomal RNA, 275 nt
Filed under: uncultured bacterium
Lineage: Bacteria
Description: partial 16S ribosomal RNA
Rfam family: Bacterial small subunit ribosomal RNA
Source: RNAcentral
CCUACGGGCGGCUGCAGCAAGGAAUUUUCGGCAAUGGGCGCAAGCCUGACCGAGCAACGCCGCGUGCGGGAUGACGGCCUUCGGGUUGUAAACCGCUUUUGGGGGGGAAGAAACAGACGGUACCCCCCGAAUCAGCCCCGGCUAACUCUGUGCCAGCAGCCGCGGUAAGACAGAGGGGGCAAGCGUUGUCCGGAUUGACUGGGCGUAAAGCGCACGUAGGUGGUUGGUUGCGUGGUGUGUGAAAGCUCAGGGCUUAACCCUGAUAGGCCAUGCCA